GAGUAAAGUUCAGGUGAACUAAUAAAUAUUUUAUUAUAUGUUUUGUUUGUAAUCUAUACACUAAAUAACCAUAAAAUAAUUUAUCACACGUUAACGAGUUUCUUAAAAAUGAACAAAUUAUAUAUCAACUAUUUAAUAUGUAAUUUGUUGAAAAAAGGCAUGAACAGAAUCAUGAUGAUGCAUCACCAUGAAUAUUAAAAAGUUUUGCAACUUCAUUAAGAUCACGAUAACAUCUAUCGGAUUUCAAUACUUGACGAGCUAUAGACAUCCUAUUAAACAAAUUCCAAAGAACUAUUCCAACAACUACAUCAUUUCUAAGCUGAUGUAUUCUGCUCUUCAUUAGUUAAAGAAGGCAAAUUACUAGAAAUACCUUUAGCAAAUACACCAACAGUAGGUAAAGAUGAGUCAAUAAUUCCAAUGGCUUCAUAACCAACUGCAGG
Long non-coding RNA from Daktulosphaira vitifoliae (grape phylloxera), 440 nucleotides. RefSeq lists it as uncharacterized. Lineage: Eukaryota; Metazoa; Arthropoda; Insecta; Hemiptera; Phylloxeridae. The transcript is spliced from 3 exons. The record is from RefSeq and is a predicted model, not a curated record.